RNAcentral lists this ribosomal RNA (253 nucleotides) under uncultured bacterium. RNAcentral's name for it is "partial 16S ribosomal RNA". It matches the Rfam family "Bacterial small subunit ribosomal RNA", at positions 524 to 776 of the family's 1533-position model. The record is from RNAcentral.
UACAGAGGUCUCAAGCGUUGUUCGGAAUUACUGGGCGUAAAGGGUGCGCAGGCCGCGCGGGCAGUCAAAUGUGUAAUUCAGGGGCUCAACCCCUGCACUGCGCUUGAUACUUCCGCGCUCGAGCUUUGGAAAGGAGUCUGGAAUUCUCGGUGUAGCAGUGAAAUGCGUGGAUAUCGAGAAGAACACGUAGGGCGAAGGCAAGACUCUGGACAAAUGCUGACGCUCAUGCACGAAGGCUAGGGUAGCGAACGGG